UUUAAAUUCAAGUUAGUUCAAAUAGAAAUGGUCUAGGAAUAUGAUACUUUCUUUGUACUGCUUUUAUGUUUAUUUCAGCUGAUCAAUGCACAUAUGGUGGGGAGUUCAUUUUUUGUAGGCUCACUGCAAUUCUUAUUAAGAAAACAACCUUAUUGUCUUUAGGCUCACUGAAAGUAUCAAGACAACUCCAUCAAAUAACAAAAAAAAUUAAGAAACUGAAGGAAAGAACAUCAGGAUUGAUAUUGAGAAAUCUGAGUGUGAAUCCCACAUAUGGAACUUACUAGCAGGAUGAUAUGAGUGCACCAUGGGACUUGUACUAUGCUUUUGGAUAUAACAGAGACAAAAAAAAAGUUUUAAAGACAAACAGUGAGAAUAAGCAAUGAAUGCACAAGGACCUAUUUACAAUGGUAGGGUGGAAAAGACCAGUGAAGAACCUAGUAGGAUACCAGCUGCUUCACAAACUUGUGAGUACCUCUCAUUUUUUUAAGUAGACAAAACAUAGUCAUUGUGCCUUGUUAAAAACCUGAAAUUGAAAAUGAAAUUACUAAUAAAAUUACAAAAAUGCCCA
RNAcentral lists this long non-coding RNA (568 nucleotides) under Monodelphis domestica (gray short-tailed opossum). RNAcentral describes it as "lncRNA (ENSMODG00000032812.2)". Lineage: Eukaryota; Metazoa; Chordata; Mammalia; Didelphimorphia; Didelphidae. The record is from RNAcentral.